GUUAAUAUCAACAAAACAUAUACAACUCAUAGUUUAAAGUCAAAUAAAAUAAUAUCAUAUAUUUUAAAUCAUCUUUACAAUAAAAGUUUUUAAUUUAACUAAAAUAUAAGCCUACCUGCGGUAUACUGCAGAUUAAUCUCUAGAUUAUAGGGCUUAUUGGAUCUAAAGACGGGUCAUCAAAGAUUUUCUAAACUGAAGCAAAAUAUACUAAAAAUUCAAAUAUCUAUCUGUUACUAAAUUAUAAACAAAUAAGUCAAUUUAAUAUUUUAUAUAU
Molecule: small RNA, 274 nt
Filed under: Arabidopsis thaliana (thale cress)
Lineage: Eukaryota; Viridiplantae; Streptophyta; Magnoliopsida; Brassicales; Brassicaceae
Description: ATSL079130
Source: RNAcentral